AGAUUGAACGCUGGCGGCAGGCCUAACACAUGCAAGUCGAGCGGUAGAGAGGUGCUUGCAUCUCUUGAGAGCGGCGGACGGGUGAGUAAUGCCUAGGAAUCUGCCUAGCGGUGGGGGAUAACGUUCGGAAACGGACGCUAAUACCGCAUACGUCCUACGGGAGAAAGCGGGGGACCUUCGGGCCUCGCGCCAUUAGAUGAGCCUAGGUCGGAUUAGCUAGUUGG
This 224-nucleotide ribosomal RNA is filed under the name uncultured soil bacterium. RNAcentral's name for it is "partial 16S ribosomal RNA". It matches the Rfam family "Bacterial small subunit ribosomal RNA", at positions 26 to 252 of the family's 1533-position model. The record is from RNAcentral.